Molecule: long non-coding RNA, 1099 nt
Filed under: Helianthus annuus (common sunflower)
Lineage: Eukaryota; Viridiplantae; Streptophyta; Magnoliopsida; Asterales; Asteraceae
Description: hypothetical non coding rna
Source: RNAcentral
GUGUGUGUGUGUACGUAUGGGGGCGACCAGGAGAACAAAAAAGGGGGUGAACCCUAGUUCCACAUAUCUUCAAAAUUGAAGAUCAAUUCAAGACCCAAAUCGGUGCAUGAACAUGAAUAAACGAUCACCAAGUCAUGGAGAUCAUAAGUUUGACGCGUAACAAGCUAGGUGGAAGCUUGAUGAGGGAGCGGGUCAAACGAAUCAAGAAGGAAAGGAAAAAGCAUAGUUCGGACGCGAGGUAAGUAAAGCUUACACCCAUUUGUAGUAAAAGUAUGUAUUUUAUAGAUAAUAAAUGUGACAACCGAUUAUAUUCGAAAUUGGAGUUCCGACACGAAGCGAUAUGAGUCGGAACGAAUAAAAACGAUCAAAACCAUGGUUAAUGGUAAAAUGGACAAAAGGGUAAUUUAGUCGUGAAUUGACUAAGAAUUUAUAAGAUUUCUUUAAGGUUACCUUAUAGCGUAACUAGUAAUGGGAAAAGGGGUAAAUUAGUCACAUGUUGACUAUAUGUAAGUUGAGAUUAAAAGGAUACCCAUGGUAUAAGCCAUAACGAGUUAAAUACGUAAGAAGAAUGAUCUUGUGGUAAAAAUUUGAAAUGGGUCGGAUGUGGGAAUGGGUUAUUAGAAACCAUGAUUUGACAUAAGUAUAAAUGUUUGGUCAUAAAUACCAAAUGGGUCAAAUGGUGGUGAUGACACCAUUUGACAAUAUCGACUAAUGUUUGGUUGUUAAGUUAGAUGUUCACAGGAGUGAACGGGAAGUGGAUUAUUGCGUCGCUAUAAAGUAGCGGCUAAUAAAAGAAAGGUACAAAACGGGUCUAUAUGUUGACUCGAGCCAGGGUUUUGACCGUAGGUGAAGAUGGACCUAAUCCGGAUGAAGAUCAAGCGGCGAGCAAGAACCGAACACACGUUAAAUGAAGCUUCCGCGUCAAAACUUGAUUUGUGUAGUUAUAAGUGAAUUAUGUAAACGCUUAUAAAUUGUUUUUGAAAUGUUGUAAACAUUUGGGAAUGUGGGUAUAACAAGUUUUUGUAAAGUCACAUUUUAGCAUAAAAAUGUGUAUGUUUUAUUUAAAUAUUAAUAAAACGAGACGGGUCUUACAUUUUCC